RNAcentral lists this transfer RNA (66 nucleotides) under Agapornis fischeri. Its description in RNAcentral is "tRNA-Ser". Lineage: Eukaryota; Metazoa; Chordata; Aves; Psittaciformes; Psittacidae. The record is from RNAcentral. RNAcentral also lists the same sequence under 1 other name.
GAGGGGUGGUUCAACCAACAAGAACUGCUAAUUCUUGCAUCUGAGCCUAAAAUCUCAGCCCCCUUG